RNAcentral lists this ribosomal RNA (465 nucleotides) under uncultured Klebsiella sp. RNAcentral's name for it is "bacterial SSU rRNA". It matches the Rfam family "Bacterial small subunit ribosomal RNA", at positions 338 to 795 of the family's 1533-position model. The record is from RNAcentral. Lineage: Bacteria; Pseudomonadati; Pseudomonadota; Gammaproteobacteria; Enterobacterales; Enterobacteriaceae.
CCUACGGGGGGCUGCAGUGGGGAAUAUUGCACAAUGGGCGCAAGCCUGAUGCAGCCAUGCCGCGUGUGUGAAGAAGGCCUUCGGGUUGUAAAGCACUUUCAGCGGGGAGGAAGGCGGUGAGGUUAAUAACCUCAUCGAUUGACGUUACCCGCAGAAGAAGCACCGGCUAACUCCGUGCCAGCCGCCGCGGUAAUACGGAGGGUGCAAGCGUUAAUCGGAAUUACUGGGCGUAAAGCGCACGCAGGCGGUCUGUCAAGUCGGAUGUGAAAUCCCCGGGCUCAACCUGGGAACUGCAUUCGAAACUGGCAGGCUAGAGUCUUGUAGAGGGGGGUAGAAUUCCAGGUGUAGCGGUGAAAUGCGUAGAGAUCUGGAGGAAUACCGGUGGCGAAGGCGGCCCCCUGGACAAAGACUGACGCUCAGGUGCGAAAGCGUGGGGAGCAAACAGGAUUAGAUACCCGUGUAGUC